AGCGAACGCUGGCGACAGGCUUAACACAUGCAAGUCGAACGGUCCUUCGGGAUAGUGGCGGACGGGUGAGUAACACGUGGGAACGUACCCUUAGGUUCGGAGCAACACAGGGAAACUUGUGCUCAUACCGGAUAAGCCCUUCGGGGGAAAGGUUUAUCGCCUUUGGAGCGGCCCGCGUCUGAUUAGCUUGUUGGUGAGGUAAUGGCUCACCAAGGCUACGAUCAGUAGCUGGUCUGAGAGGAUGGCCAGCCACACUGGGACUGAGACACGGCCCAGACUCCUACGGGAGGCAGCAGUGGGGAAUCUUGCGCAAUGGGCGAAAGCCUGACGCAGCCAUGCCGCGUGGAUGAUGAAGGUCUUAGGAUUGUAAAAUCCUUUCACCGGGGACGAUAAUGACGGUACCCGGAGAAGAAGCCCCGGCUAACUUCGUGCCAGCAGCCGCCGCAG
This 447-nucleotide ribosomal RNA is filed under the name uncultured bacterium. RNAcentral describes it as "partial 16S ribosomal RNA". It matches the Rfam family "Bacterial small subunit ribosomal RNA", at positions 29 to 523 of the family's 1533-position model. The record is from RNAcentral.